Camelus dromedarius (Arabian camel) is the source of this 1110-nucleotide long non-coding RNA. RefSeq lists it as uncharacterized. NCBI's taxonomy places the organism in Eukaryota, Metazoa, Chordata, Mammalia, Artiodactyla, Camelidae. The record is from RefSeq and is a predicted model, not a curated record. The transcript is spliced from 2 exons.
CCAUCAACAAAGAGGCCAGGGCACUGAGAUUUCCAGUGAUUUAGCAUCCUGGCUGGGAGGGGUCAUGUGUUCUACAGUGAGUUCUGAGUAUACUGCACUGCCCUCGAGGACCUGCAGGGGGCGCGCGAAGCCAGCGUGUCUUAGGUGGCGGUGCGCAUGGGCAGUUCGCAUCAGCAGCCAGCGUCUUCCCUGGGGGCGGAGCUUGUUUUCCUCAGGACUGAGCGGGCGGCGCCAUGGAGGCUCCAGGACAGCGCUGCCUGCGUGUCCGCGGGAGGAGGACGCUCCCCGCCCGCUGUCUGAAGUUACGCCGGUUUCCCACGGCCUGAGCCCGCUUCCUGCCGGGGUGUGUGUGGACCUGACCGAGCUGGGGCCCCGGCCGGCUGGGCAGGAGGGGACGGGUGCGCUGGCGGGCCCGCUUCGACUAUUCUCCUUGCCCGCCGGGAGCGGCCAGAGGUCCUCUGCAACAAGCUGAUAACCCACAGGAUAUCUCCUUAAAAUCUAUGUGGCUGUCAUGAUUUUCACCAAAAGCGUUAAAUAAACCUGUAAAAUAGGAACACAGAAUAAAUCACAGCCAACAAACUUCCUGUUAAUAAUGACAUGCUUAUGAAAGGAGGCAUGACUCGCAUAAACUGACUUAGUUUUUAAAAGUUAUCAGUAGUUUCCACUGUCUUAGGAAGUUUUUUUUUCCCCCCCUGGCAUAAUUAUAACCAAAAUUUAACUUCCUAGAAGAAAAUACUAUCAUUCAGUGUUUGGUUUUGUCUGCCUACCUGUCUCUAUCUUAUAUUAAUUCCAAAAGUCUAAAGUGAUUGUAGAAUGUAAAAAAUAAAAGUAUAUUUUAAAAAUGUAACUGGAAAAAAGUCAGAGACCACAAUUAUCCUAAUUUGGAAAGACUAAGAAGAAAAAGGAAAAAAGAAGAAGAAAAGUUGAACUCUAUCAAAGAUAUACUGUGUUGUUAUUAACAAGCUUCAUACAGCUCCUUCAUGAAGCAAAGAAAACUAACACACUAUAUUAUAAGAGAAAGAAAUUCUGUAGUGCAGUCUUCAUUGUACCACUUAAUCUGUAUACAUAAAUAUAUUAAAUUUCAGAAAUAAAGGGCAAUUUAUAAUCUAA